AAAGUUUUAUACAACGGUUGGUUCUAAUCCUGAAUGUUGAUUGGUUAAAACCGCAUUCCAGCCGGUGUCUAUUCCAUAAGUUGCCACCGGCUAAAUCUGACGUUAAAAUGCCUAUUUACUCUGUUUAAUCUGACUGCUGCAAUCCACUGUCUCAUCAGCCCAGCCAGGCAAUUUAUGAACUUGAUGUCAGUCUUUGGUCGAGUCCCUCCCAGUCUGAUUGCCAUUAGAAUCAGUCUCAGGUCGAGUCCCUCCCAGUCUGGUUGCCAUUAGAGUCAGUCUUAGGUCGAGUCCCUCCCAGUCUGGUUGCCAUCAGAGUCAGUCUCAGGUUGAGUCUGACCCCAUCUGGUUGCCAUUAGAGUCAGGUCUACUCCCUCCCAAUCUGGUUGCUUUUUGAGUCAGUCCCAGGUCUAGUCCUUCCCAAUCUGAUUGCAAUUAGAGCCCAGUCAGUCUCAGGUCGAGUCCUUCCCAAUCUGGUUGCCAUUAGAGCCCAGUCAGUCUCAGGUCGAGUCCUUCCCAAUCUGGUUGCCAUUAGAGCCCAGUCAGUCUCAGGUCUAGUCCCUCCCAGUCAGUCUCAGGUCAGUCUCCCCAGUCAGUCUCAGGUCGAGUCCCUCCCAGUCAGUCUCAGGUCAUGUCCCUCCCAGUCAGUCUCAGCUCGAGUCCCUCCCAGUCAGUCUCAGGUCGAGUCCCUCCCAGUCAGUCUCAGGUCGAGUCCCUCCCAGUCAGUCUCUGGUCAUGUCCCUCCCAGUCAGUCUCAGGUCAUGUCCCUCCCAGUCAGUCUCAGGUCGAGUCCCUCCCAGU
This is a long non-coding RNA of Oncorhynchus tshawytscha (Chinook salmon), 798 nucleotides long. The record is from Ensembl. Lineage: Eukaryota; Metazoa; Chordata; Actinopteri; Salmoniformes; Salmonidae.